UACCUCUUGUUUUGAUGGGCUUCAAAAAUGCCCUUGUCAUACAAUAAAUAUGCCCUCAUGCAUUCAUAAGUCCGUUUGGGUCCAUUGGUACAGUUUCCUUCUUUCCAUGUUUACCCUUUCUCCUGUAAUGUUAGAUCGAACCAGUUCCUGAAAAUUUUAGUUUUAAUUUGUUCUUCUGUCUCUCUUUCUCUUUCAACCACCACCAGCACUUAUGCACUACUACCAGCAGCUCCGCCACCACCACCAUCACGUCCUCUGUUAUUAUCAGCGAAUCUAUUAAUAUGUUUGUGUUCGAUUUCAACUCAUUUGAACCUGUUAUUUAUUGUUCUUCAUCUUCUUAUGUGAAACAUUGGUAUUCCAGAUUCAGAGAUCGACAGGUCUUUGAUUUUUGAUUUCAUAUUUUUGUCGCUAUUUUUGUGCUCGAUUUCAACCUAUUUCAACUUCUUAUAAAUUGUUCUUCAUCUUUCUAGGUUAAAAACUGAAUAAUUUUAAUGAGCUGUUUAUGAAUUGAUCGAAUACUUAUUGAAUAUCAUUAAUUGAUGAGAUUCAAUUUAAUUCGAAGUAUUCAUUUUCAAUAACGAUUGAACUGAAUGUUUCAAUUGAAGGUCGUUCACCGGUAGUGUUGGUGUUGUUGCAGCGGUGAUGGUGGUGGCGGAGGAUUUCAACUCUUUGAUCAUUUUGUAGAUGAUGAUGGUAGUGGUAGUGGUGGCGGUGGUUGAGGAGGAUAUCAAACUUAUGUUUUAUUAGUUGAUGGUGGUGGCGGUGGUGGAGGAGAAAAAAAUUAGUGAAGAUGUACUAAUGCAUCAUGUCCAUGGGGUUGAUGCUAAUAGAGAUGAUCUUCAUAUCAGUUGUUGACACCUAAUAUUGAUGGCGGCGGUAGCGGCGGCGGCGGCAACAACAACAAUGGUGAUGGUGUGUGGCGGUGGUGGAAUAUUAUUGGUGGUUGUAUUUAGUAAGUGGUGGUGGCGGCGGCGGUGCUGUUGGUGGUGGUGAAAUGGUGCUGCUGGUGGAUGUGAAAUAAUAGAAAAAUCUAUUUUUUAAUGGAUAAAAUUUUAAAUGGAAAAUAACAUUGUAAGUGAGGGUAUCAAGGUAAUUUAUUUUUUAAUGGAUAAGAUAUUUAAAUGAUAGGGGUAUUUAUAUUGUUGUAUAAGGGUAUAUUUAUUGGGAGUCAAAACUAAGAGUAUUUAAUAAAUUUACCCUAAUAAUUUUGGACUUGGAAGAGGUAUUCUAAGAGAGAUAGAGUAAGUAUUAGAUGUUAGCAGAGAAACUAUCAUGUAAUCUUACCUUUUCCCUUCCACUUAAAGGUAUGCGACUAAAUUGU
Long non-coding RNA from Papaver somniferum (opium poppy), 1321 nucleotides. RefSeq lists it as uncharacterized. The record is from RefSeq and is a predicted model, not a curated record. The transcript has 2 exons. Lineage: Eukaryota; Viridiplantae; Streptophyta; Magnoliopsida; Ranunculales; Papaveraceae.